GGCUGUGACUCAGCGGUAGCGCAUAUGCUUGGCAUGUGUGAGGCACUGGGUUCGAUUCUCAGCACCA
RNAcentral lists this transfer RNA (67 nucleotides) under Marmota monax (woodchuck). Its description in RNAcentral is "tRNA.Ala". The record is from RNAcentral. Lineage: Eukaryota; Metazoa; Chordata; Mammalia; Rodentia; Sciuridae.